UACGUGGUGGCGAGCGUUGUCCGGAUUUACUGGGCGUAAAGGGAGCGUAGUCGGACUUUUAAGUGAGAUGUGAAAUACCCGGGCUCAACUUGGGUGCUGCAUUUCAAACUGGAAGUCUAGAGUGCAGGAGAGGAGAAUGGAAUUCCUAGUGUAGCGGUGAAAUGCGUAGAUAUUAGGAGGAACACCAGUUGCGAAGGCGGCUCUCUGGACUGUAACUGACACUGAGGCACGAAAGCGUGGGGAGCAAACAGGAUUAGAUACCCGGGUA
Molecule: ribosomal RNA, 268 nt
Filed under: uncultured prokaryote
Description: partial 16S ribosomal RNA
Rfam family: Bacterial small subunit ribosomal RNA
Source: RNAcentral